RNAcentral lists this ribosomal RNA (253 nucleotides) under uncultured bacterium. RNAcentral's name for it is "partial 16S ribosomal RNA". It matches the Rfam family "Bacterial small subunit ribosomal RNA", at positions 524 to 776 of the family's 1533-position model. The record is from RNAcentral.
UACGGAGGGUGCGAGCGUUAAUCGGAAUUACUGGGCGUAAAGGGUGCGUAGGUGGUUGAUUAAGUUAUCUGUGAAAUCCCCGGGCUCAACCUGGGCAGGUCAGAUAAUACUGGUUAACUCGAGUAUGGGAGAGGGUAGUGGAAUUUCCGGUGUAGCGGUGAAAUGCGUAGAGAUCGGAAGGAACACCAGUGGCGAAGGCGGCUACCUGGCCCAAUACUGACACUGAGGCACGAAAGCGUGGGGAGCAAACAGG